GCCAGGUGCGGUGGCGCAUGCCUAUAGUCCCAGCUACUCAGGAGGCUGAGGUGGGAGGAUCACUUGAACCCAGGAGUUCUAGGCCAUAGUGCGCUAUGUCGAUCUGGUGUCCGCACUAAGUUCGACAUCAAUAUGGUGACCUCCUGGGAGCGGGGAACCACCAGGUUGCCUAAGGAGGGGUGAACUGGCCCAGGUCAAAAUCGAGCAGGUCAAAACUCCCGUGCUGAUCAGUAGUGGGAUCGCGCCUGUGAAUAGCCACUGCACUCCAACCUGGGCAACAUAGCAAGACCCUGUCUCUU
Callithrix jacchus (white-tufted-ear marmoset) is the source of this 299-nucleotide unclassified non-coding RNA. It matches the Rfam family "Metazoan signal recognition particle RNA". From Rfam's summary of the family: The signal recognition particle (SRP) is a universally conserved ribonucleoprotein. It is involved in the co-translational targeting of proteins to membranes. The record is from Ensembl. NCBI's taxonomy places the organism in Eukaryota, Metazoa, Chordata, Mammalia, Primates, Cebidae.